AGUUGGAUUUUGGUUAAGAGGGCGCGGUCGGCCGUUUGGUCUGUACUGCGUUGUCUUGACUUCCUGAUGAGGACAUGCUCUUGGUUAACGCUGAGACAUGGAGUCAUCGUGGUUACUUUGAAAAAAUUAGAGUGUUCAAAGCGGGCUUACGCUUGAAUAUAUUAGCAUGGAAUAACACUAUAGGACUCCUGUCCUAUCUCGUUGGUCUCGGGAUGGGAGUAAUGAUUAAGAGGAACAGUUGGGGGCAUUCGUAUUUCAUUGUCAGAGGUGAAAUUCUUGGAUUUAUGAAAGACGAACUUCUGCGAAAGCAUUUGCCAAGGAUGUUUUCAUUAAUCAAGAACGAAAGUUGGGGGCUCGAAGAUGAUUAGAUACCAUCCUAGUCUCAACCAUAAACGAUGCCGACUAGGGAUUGGUGGAUGUUAAUUGAUGACUUCACCAGCACCUUAUGAGAAAUCAAAGUUUUUGGGUUCCGGGGGGAGUAUGGUCGCAAGGCUGAA
Molecule: ribosomal RNA, 497 nt
Filed under: eukaryotic picoplankton environmental sample
Lineage: Eukaryota
Description: SSU rRNA
Rfam family: Eukaryotic small subunit ribosomal RNA
Source: RNAcentral